GAAGAUGCAGCUGAAUUGGUUGAGCUAGCCUCAAUAUGUCUUCAGUAUGAGGCCAGAGAUAGGCCUGACAAUCGAGUUCCUCCUAUCAUCAGUUGCGCCUCUGCAGAAGCAGAAAAGAGUUGGCUUCGCAUGUUCUUAUGGGUAUCGCUAAAACUCCCGGAGUGCUUCCAACAAUGCUAUCGCCGCUAGGGAAGGCAUGCGCUAGGAUGGACCUUACGGCUGUACACGGCAUCCUGCUUAAGACAGGUUAUAAGGAUGAAGAAGGUGCAGAAAAUGAGCUUUUGUUCCAAGAAUGGACGCAGCAAGUACAAGACAUGUGGAAUACAACGAAGUUUGGGGAUAUUGCUUUUAGGGACAAAGAUUUCAAGAAUGCGAUUGAGUACUACUCAAAG
This is a long non-coding RNA of Rhodamnia argentea, 392 nucleotides long. RefSeq lists it as uncharacterized. The record is from RefSeq and is a predicted model, not a curated record. The transcript is spliced from 3 exons. Lineage: Eukaryota; Viridiplantae; Streptophyta; Magnoliopsida; Myrtales; Myrtaceae.